GGAGGGUAUAGCUCAGUGGUAGAGUGUGUGUUUAACAUGCACGAGGUCCUGGGUUCAAUCCCCAGUACCUCCA
Molecule: transfer RNA, 73 nt
Filed under: Vicugna pacos (alpaca)
Lineage: Eukaryota; Metazoa; Chordata; Mammalia; Artiodactyla; Camelidae
Description: tRNA-Val (AAC) (tRNA-Val-AAC-35-1)
Rfam family: tRNA
About the family: Transfer RNA (tRNA) molecules are approximately 80 nucleotides in length. Their secondary structure includes four short double-helical elements and three loops (D, anti-codon, and T loops). Further hydrogen bonds mediate the characteristic L-shaped molecular structure. tRNAs have two regions of fundamental functional importance: the anti-codon, which is responsible for specific mRNA codon recognition, and the 3' end, to which the tRNAs corresponding amino acid is attached (by aminoacyl-tRNA synthetases). tRNAs cope with the degeneracy of the genetic code in two manners: having more than one tRNA (with a specific anti-codon) for a particular amino acid; and 'wobble' base-pairing, i.e. permitting non-standard base-pairing at the 3rd anti-codon position.
Source: RNAcentral